Molecule: long non-coding RNA, 635 nt
Filed under: Phascolarctos cinereus (koala)
Lineage: Eukaryota; Metazoa; Chordata; Mammalia; Diprotodontia; Phascolarctidae
Description: lncRNA (ENSPCIG00000028470.2)
Source: RNAcentral
AGUGCUGACUCGCACGCUAGAUGUGAUUUGACCAGGACAUAUUUUUUAUUAAAUUGAGCACAUGCCUCUAGGGAUUUCCAUGUACCUCACAUUUUGCAAUGAUUCCUGGUAGUGGUGGGUGGUAAUGAACUAAUUGGAGAUACUGGUUUAUCUGAAUGAUCUCAUUGCUUUCGGAAAGUCACAAAGAAUCUGAGGAGAUGCUAUGGAAGAUGUACAAUCAGUCGGAAACUAUUGUCUUACAGCUGAAGUUGUUUAACUAGAGUUAGUUUUGAUCUAUAUGCUACUAACUGGUACAAUUCGUUAGCAGGAUUGCUCAUUACCGGACAAAUCAGAGUACAGUUGCAUUUUGGAGGUGUUGCUUGUAAACAGCUAAAUUUUCGGGCAUGCCAUUGAAGCUCUGGCCAUAUAAGGCCGUUGGUCAUUCACUGCUGGAAGUAGCACUCUCAGAGGCCCUUCUCCAUGGAGUGUUUCAAAAUAAGAAAAAUCUUCACGUUGCCUUUUUCCACCUAAGUCUGGGCAACAAAGUCACAUGCAGAAGCUGAGAAUGAACGUGCAAAUCCUGCUUGAUUUGAAUGGUAUGAUGCUCUCAGGGAUCGCCUAGACAUCCCUUAGAAAAACCCUGCUGGUAGAGGCAG